UUUCCGUAGGUGAACCUGCGGAAGGAUCAUUACAAAUCCAUCCUGGAAUGGGUGGGGGCAUGCGUGCGUGUCCCCAUCCAUUCCAUAUUCACACACCACGUUGAAUUGUUCCAGGGGAGGCCCAAUGAUUGAUAUUGGUAUCGAUAUCGAUAUCGUAUCAUUGAGCCCCCCUGGUCGUGUUUAUCACAAACUGUUCCACCUCAGUUGCUUCAUGGAGGAAGGGGGCGAGAGGGAGAGGGGAAGGGGGGAGAGAGGACAAGGGAGCCGCCGCCGCGGUCUCCCGUCCUGCCGACCACCUACCCCACCUACCACCACCACCUACCACCACCAAAAACAAAAACACACAACCUAGAACAACUUAUAACAAUGGAUCUCUAGGCUCUU
RNAcentral lists this unclassified non-coding RNA (384 nucleotides) under soil metagenome. RNAcentral describes it as "partial contains small subunit ribosomal RNA, internal transcribed spacer 1, and 5.8S ribosomal RNA". The record is from RNAcentral.